This 35912-nucleotide long non-coding RNA is filed under the name Theobroma cacao (cacao). RNAcentral describes it as "long non-coding RNA (TCAC_LNC006109)". The record is from RNAcentral. Lineage: Eukaryota; Viridiplantae; Streptophyta; Magnoliopsida; Malvales; Malvaceae.
AAACUUAGCUCCUGCCAAAAUCAUUCUCGCGGGUACCUUCAUCAAGGUAUCCCAUUGAGACCGCCAAGGCUGUUAAAUGUCCCAUACCCAUAAACGUGUUUUCGCAUCUGACACACAGCCGUUCCUUGGCGUUGGUUGAGUCUCACUCUCACGCGGUGGUUAACGUGAAGUGCACUCAAAAAGCCCACCUCAGGAGAUACCCUACGCGCCUCUACGACGAGGUGAGAAUAUAAAGGAGUUUACCGUGCCCCUCUAAUAGGCUGGUCCACGGAAGCCCCCACUACUGCAGUAGCUAAUCUUUAAUCCACCAAUUGAUCAAAUCUCAAUGGCAUAGCAUGACAAUUACAUUACUAAACAAUUUAUCAAGGCAAAACAGACAGUUCAUAUUUUUCAACACAGGUAUAAAUUCAGCCAAUCAUGCCAAUUUAUCACAAGCCAUUUAAUUCAAAUCAUAAUUUACAAUAAAUCACAUGGUCUCCAAUUACUUAAAUUUUCAAAGCCAUCAUUCAAUUUCAAGAUAAUUUUAUGAAAUCAUUUUAUAAAAUCACAAUUUCUCCUAAAACAUAGCAAUUUACCAUUUAAACCUAUUUUCUAGAAAAUCACACAAUUGUAUAAAACUACUCUAGAUAAUUAAGACGAUAAUAAGUUCACUCAUAGUAUUAGGAGUAGAAAUACUCCUAUUUUCAGUCCGCGGGUACAAUCCUUUACCCGUAUCCAAUGGCUCACCACCUAGCCAUAAUCCAUGACACAUAUUCUAAUUAAAUUGUGUCUAACAGUNCCAGUAUUCAAUUUUCUAAAAAAUUUAUAAAAUCACAAUUUCUCCUAAAACAUAGCAAUUUACCAUUUAAACCCAUUUUCUAUAAAAUCACAUAAUUGUAUAAAACUACUCUAGAUAAUUAAGACAAAAAUAAGUUUACUCACAGUAUUAGGAGUAGAAAUACUCAUAUUUUCAGUCCGCGAGUACAGUCCUUUACCUGUAUUCAAUGGCUCACCACCUAGCUAUAAUCCAUGACACAUAUUUCAAUUAAAUUGUGUCUAAUAGUCAUAAGCUAUUUCAGGCUCGAUAUAUAUGCAUGAUAUGAAAUGAAAAAUGCAUGGGUAGCCAUCUAGAUCCGGUAUUGGCCUUAGUAAAUUUUUCAUCCAAUAAAUUGGCCAAUGCGUCCAAUUUCACUCCAACUUGCUCCAUUUCUUUUCCAAUCCCUCAAUUCACCAAGCACAACUAAUUAACACACAAUUAGGCAAAAUUUAUCUACGCUUUUCUUCUUGGAACUUUCGGCCAAUAAUGGUAUACUAAUUCCAUGAUUUUUCCUACUUAAUUUUCUCUCCAUAAUUCAUUAAUUCCUACACCAAAAACUAUUAUUUGUUAAGCAAAUCACCUAGAAUAACAUCCCAUUCUUCCUCAUUAUUCACUUAGAGAAUUCGGCUAUUGAUGGGUUCCAAACCUUUGGUGGUUUUCUUCACUUGUUUUCAUGCUACACAUCAUUAAUCACCUAAAAACACUAACAUACCUAAAAAUCAAACCAAUCCAAGAUCAUUCUCUCUCCAUACCCAUUUUGACCAGCCAUGAAUUCAUCAUGAAAACAUGUAAUUUAACCAUGGAAAUUAAGGGAAAAUGCAUGGGUAAGGUAAAUCACUAGCAAAAUCAAAGAAAUUUUACCUUUGCUUGAUCAAAUCCUUGAAUUCCAACACUUUCUCUUUGAUUUUUCCCACCUAGGGUUUGUUUCUCUUUGAUUUUUCCCACCUAGGGUUUGUUCUUCCUUGGUUUCUCUUCUCUUCUGGUUUGGCUGAUCACUAUGGGAGAAAUGGGCUGAUUUUUUACCUUUUUAUAAAGAAAUAAUAAAAUAAUAAAAAACAUGACACAUGGCAUUUUCUUAUUGGUUCAAAUUUUAAAUAUUUACCUUUUAAUUCUUUAAUUCUCCACCACACAUUUCUUAUGUUUAUCCAUUUCCGUGAUGAAUAAAAUCGCUUGGUCUUGACAAGUGUCGGGAGUGAAAAUUUUACCGAUUUACCCUCGGGGUGGCAAAAUUACCGUUUCACCCCUAUACUCUAAAUUAUAUCGAAAUUAAAAUUUUUCACUUCUAAACUUCAACUCAUACUCCAAUAAGUCAAAUGGGGCCAAAAAAAUCUUUUCUAAAAAUUUCCAUUUUGUCCCUAAGUGGAAAAUGACCAUUUUGCCCCUAGAUAGUGAAAAUUUUGGUUUGACUCCAAAUUGAUUCUCGAACUCCGAAUUACCAUUUUGAGUCAUCUCUGAACUGUGAAACUCUUAAUUUCACCCUAAAAUUCCUAUUUGAAUUAGUUCGAGGCUUAAUCGACUUAAUGGUACCAUUAGGGGCAAUAUCGUCUUUUAACGAUUCCUCGAACUUUCUAAAUAUGCAAACAUUCUAUUGAGCAUGUAAAUGACAUCGUAAUUAUUUUAUAGAACAGGGUUUGACAUAAAGGGGAUUGAAAUAUGUAGAGCUAUUGUAUAGAUAAACAGUUAAAAUAAAGGGAUGAAAUGACACGAAUGGAAAUGGUUAAUCAUGAGAAGAGAUAUGAGAAAUGCACUACGCAUUUCAAUUUAUUUGAAUGAUAAAUGAUAACAAGCCCGAUACAUAAAAUUCCAAUGCUUUUGGGCAUAAGCACGGAUGUUUAGUUUGCAUUACUUUGAAAUUGAAUCACAAGUGAUUGGUAAACUCAUGGUCGUCCAGCUGCUCAACUUUAGAUUUGGUGGCCCGAGGUAUGUAAUAGGAAUCCCAUCUACAUUUCCUGACUGUUCUUCACCUUCUUCCGUUGCACAUAUUGAUAAAUCAGAAAAGGCUUCCCCUAAAGCUGACAUUGAUUCUCGGCUCCCAACGGUGAGUCAUUUAGGAAAGAUGCAACCUCCAGAUCGAAAUGUCUUGUAGAGAUGAGGAUAUCUCAUUCCUUGGAUUUCCAACUCAUGCCCCUUAAAGCGAGCCAACCUUUCCUUUCUUCUUUCGGCUAUCAUUUCUUCUCUUUCCUUCUUAGUUGGCUUAUACCCCAGGCUAAACCUUUCUUCAUUUUUGGUAGCACGUAUGGGCCUUCUAAUGCCUUGUAGCUCUCUUCCCAGUCCUACCCCUGCUCGUUAUCCUUUCCCUACUAUCUGACUGACAGCCAUCUUGGUGGUUUUGGAAUGCUUCGGAAUAGACGGUGUGGUUCCUUCUCCAACAUAUGUGGUGUUAACAAACUCGAAGGAUCGGAAGGAACAUUCAGGCACUUCUUCCGCCGCUGUCACGUAAAGAGUAUCUACUGGCUUGCUUAUGAGUAAGUCCUCUUCCCCGUUAACACAGAUAAUAUUCCCAUCCACGAUGAACUUGACCUUCUGAUGAAGAGAUGAAGGUAUGGCUCCAGCCAUAUGGAUCCAAGGUCUUCUCAACAAAUAAUUGUAUGAAGGAGCGAUAUCCAUAACCUGGAAUUCAAUGGUAAAGGUACACGGGCCAAUUUUUACCGGUAUCUCAAUGUCCCCUACUACUUCUCUCAUUGUUCCGUCGAAGGCUCUCACGAUCAUCUGACUCUUUCACAUGUAGGACAUGUUGAUGGGUAAACGGGCCAAGGUCCUCAUGGGCAUCACAUUUAAGGACGAUCCGUUGUCCAGCAAUACCUUUGCGACGGUACAGCCUUUACACUUGGUAGUGAUAUGCAAGGCUUUGUAAUUUCCUCUACCUCCAGAAGGGAUUUCUUCAUCGCUAAAGGAUAUUAUGUUACCCACCGAAAUGUUCCCAACAAUGUAGUCUAAAUUUUCAACUGAGAUAUCGUGAUCCACAUAUGCUUGGUUCAGAAUUUUCAUCAAAGAGUUCCUAUGUGGUUCCGAGCUGAGGAGCAAAGAUAGUAGUGAAAUACGAGCGGGCAACCUAUUCAAUUGCUCAACCACAUUGUACUCACUAUGUUUGAUGAACUUGAGGAACUCAACAGCUUCUUUUUUCGUCACCGAUCUUUUUGAGUCAUAUGUCGAUUCUGGAGGUUGACCUUUUCUUCUCUCAGACUUUGCUCUUUUUCCUUUCCCUUCUCAUUCUUGAGAUUCUCCAAUGCUUCCGGUGAAUAGCAACAUCCGCUGCGGGUAAUCCCUCUAACACCAAUUAUAUUUGCAGCAUCAUCUUGAGAUUCAGCUAUCCAUUUCUCCACUUUUGAAACUUGUACACUGUAGUUAUAGUUUCAUGGGACAGCUUUGUCGUCUUUGUAGGGGAAGGGUUUAGGGACUUCGAUGAUCAUCUUGGCAUGGGUUCUGUCCUCCACAAACUCUCCUCUUGGUUCAUAAAAAUGGUUAAAGGUUUUAUCUUCAUUGGGUGAGUGGACUCCUUGGAUAUCAUGUUUAAUGCUUACUUUGAAGCUUCCAUAUAAAACUCGAUCCUUGAUUCGUCCAUCAUUCUUUGCACUUCCUUCCGGAAAGAACUACAAUCCUGGAUUAAAUGCCCCACACAUCCUUUGUGAUACAAGCAACAUAGUCUUUGGAUAUCUCUCGAGUCGUUCACAUUAGGACAUUCCGGCCAAACCUCGAGCAUAUUGGCUUUUACCAAGGCUUCAAAUACUUUCUCCAUGGGGGUUUCCAGUUCCCGAAUGUUCCUUUUAACAUACACCUCCCUUUCGAUUGCAUUUACCCCUGCCCCAGCAUGAUUCGGCAGUGGGUUAUUGUUAACAUUCUGUUUUGACUUUUUUUCAGAGUUCAGGAUUCCUGCCUUGAUCAACCCUUGCACCUUAUGCUUGAAUACCGUGCAAUUCUCGAUCGAGUGACCUUCGAUUCCAUAAUGAUAAUCACAGUGGGCGGAAGUGUCAUACCAUCUUGGGAAUGGAGGUUUUAAUGGCUCUAUGUAUAAAGGUGCCACCAGAUGGUUUGCAACUAACUGAGUGAAGAGUUCAGCAUAUGGGAUUGAGAUUGGGUCAAACUACACUUUCUCUUGCUUGUUCCGCCAUCCUCUUGAUUCACCGGUAGUAUGGUUGUUUGAAGGUGUUGUUUGUUGUGUGGUUGAAGCUGUAACAGGUGUGGAAGUAGGUGGGUGAAUAUUUGUGGGGUAAGGUGUCCGUUAGAUGGGAGUAUAGGUUAGGAAAGGCAUUUGGCAUGAGUGGGUAUAGGUAUGGGCUUUGUGAAGUGUUGUUCAUAGCUGGAUAAUAGGGGUAUGGUGGGUAUGGCUGGUAAAGGUUGUAUAUUCCUCCUUGGUGUUGUCCUGAAGUGAUGGCUUAGGCUUCUCCCUCUUUCCUCUUGAAAGUUCCUCAUUUCCUUGUGUUUGCCGUAUCACCUCAUUCUAUCUUCCCUUGCUUAAUGACAGUUUCUAUCAUUUCUCCCGAAAUCACCAUAUCAGCAAAGUUCUUUGUGGCACUACCAACCAAUAGUUCAUAGUAAGGGGCUCGCAAGGUGUUAACAAACAUUACAAUGGUCUCUUUCUCAGUCAAUGGUGGCUGAACUUGAGAGGCCACAUUCCUCCAUCUUUGAGCGUAUUCUUUGAAGCUUUUAGUGGGUUUCUUCUCCAUGUUUUGUAAAGAAAGGCGAUCCGGAGCCAUAUCUAUAACAUGCUUAUACUAAGCUACAAACGCCCGAGCAAGGUCUUUCCAUGUGUGGAUUCGAUUGCAGUCCUGUUAGUCGUACCACUUUGCUGCAGCAACAGUAAGGCUAUAUUGGAAGCAAUGUAUCAAGAGUUUGUCAUCAUGAGCAUAUGCGCCCAUCCUUCUACAAUACAAGGUGAUGUGUGUGACCGGGCACUUGGUUUCAUCAUACUUCUCACAGUCUGGAACUUUGAACUUUGGGGGUAUAACCACAUCUGGAACAAGACAGAGCUCAAUUGCAUCCAUAGAACAAUACAUUCCCAUUCUUUCUAUCAUGCGCAAUCCUUCCUCAAAAAGGUCAAAUUUCUGAUGGGUAUUGGGAUUAUCCUUCGAUUCAACAGAUCCACAUUUGAGCUUCUCUUGUUCCUUUGGAUCAUCCAGAUCAGGUACAGAGAUGGGAUCUUAAGGAUUUGCCCCUCUAAUUGGCCUUUGUUGAGCAUAAGUUGGUGGUGGCCCUAUUGGCAUCCCAAAAAAUGGAUAUUGACCCAUUGAUGGCAUGGGAAUAGACGCAUUCCUUGCAGGUGGUGGUGUAAAUCUUGGUGGAUACACAGGGUCUGUAUUGGUUUCUGUCUAUUGAACGUCUUCUGGUGUACCAGAACUCCCUGCCGCUCUCUUUCCUUUAUUUGUAGAUAUUAACUCCAAAAUUUUUGAUAACUGACCCACGAUUUCUUCUUGCUUCUUCUCAAUCUUAUCCAUCCUCUUUGAAUGUUCGUCCCCCAUGAUCUUAGAACAAGCUCUUGUAUUGUAUCUGUGGAGAAUUUGUUUUUCUAGAAUUUUGUUCUAUUAGUUCAAGGAAUAAGUUAGAAUUUUAUGUUGAGUGUAUUAUUAUUUAUUACUUUUAUUUAAAUCAUGCAUUAUGAUGCAAAUGAAAUGUAUUUGAAAAGAAAAAAUAGGAAAAAUAUUGGCCAUCCAACAUUUACCAUAAGAAAAUCCGCAUCCAUAAAACUUAAAUAUCCGAUUACAUCAUUGUCUAAAACCAUUACAUAACUAUCAAAAGGAAAAACCGACUUUGUCAUAUUGGUCCCUAACCAUCCUGAGGUGAUCGAUCAACCGCUCACUCAAUUCAUCCCUAGGAAGAAACUCUCGCCUGAGUUUUUUGAUCUUGUUUGCCAUCACUCGAGCUCUAAAUGCCACUUCUCUCAUCUGUCUCAGUAUCCAUCGCAUCUCAGCUUCUUUCCUUUGAAGGCUUUGUGUGCACGAAUCAUUUCUUUCCCUCAUUUGGAAAUAUUCUUGCAUUACUACUUCAUACUGUGCCUUGUAGCCCUUCAUGGCAGUUUCCAACAAGUCGCAGUCAUUUUUCAACUCUUGGAUGGUUUGUUCUUAUCUUCGUACCUCGUUCUGCAAAGCAUUGUUGGCACUUUGAAGUUUUUGCAUUCUGGCUAACAAAGAAGAAUUUGCCAUGCUCACUUCCUCAAACUUGCUGUGCCACUCAUCCCGCUCUUUCAAAGCCACCCGUACCUUUCUUGCAGUCUCUUUCUUCACUUCUUCUAGCUCAUCCUCAUGUCUCCGCUUCAUAUUCAUCAUCUCCUUUUCAAGCCUCUUUCUUGUCAACUCACUCUCCAGCAGGACAUCUUGAGGUUCUAGGUUUAUGGGAUGUUUUGAUGGAUUUUUCGGGGGGCAUACGACAUAUUUCACCCUUUGGUCGUGCCAAGUAUGAUAUCCUGUGGUGACUUCAUCAGUAACCCUUCCCUGAUCUACUCGGCAAGUUUUCUUCCAAUCUUAUGUAAUUUCCUCAAUUUUCUUUAGCGUUUUCGGCUCUCCAUAUGUAAACUCUAACUGGUUGAGUUGGUGAGUCAUGGGGACGAAUUGCUCAGAUCCGAACUGUUUCCGUACCAUUAUCGGUGCAUAGCUAAUGGCUCCCCAUGGUCCCAUCAGCGGUACCCAUGGCUUGUCUCUGCAUUUAUACAUCACUUGCAUUCGCGGCAUCCAUGGAGCUCUCCAAGUUACUUCAACGCUCAUUAACAUCCGGAGAUUUGCGACCCACUCUUCUUUCCUCUUGUAGUCGGGCCAUACACUUUCGUAGAACUCGAGGAUAGGGCAACUUACAGACAGAUAAGGCUUCCGAAAUUUGUUCUCUUUACAUUCGAAAUGGCUUUUGACCCAUAUAGUUAAGAGUUGGGCACAUCCGAUGAAUCGUCCCUCGCCUUUGCGUCUACAAAAAUUCAAGGAUCUGAAGGUUUCAACUAAGAUAGAUGGGGUUGGGUUAAUGCUCAUCGUCACCUGAUCAAAGAAGUUUAUGACUAACACCUCCACAUGACCUAGAACCUUCAGGAAGACCACUAAGCCGUAGAUUGCCAUCGCAAAAGCUAAGAGACCUUGUUCAUCCUCCAUGUGUUUUUUAAUAUAUCCGUUCAAGAAACUCCACGGAAGGCAUUAUGUGUCUCCUUUCUUCUUCAAAUGCUGAUCCACUUCUACCGUAGUCAUUCCUAAUAACUUGGCCAACUUUCGUCGGUGUCCCGUCUUCUGGGCCCUCCAAUAGAUCUUGUCAGGCUGCAUGUGAUCUAUCCGGAGCAGGGAGGAGUACUCUUCUAUGGUAGGGGUCAUGUCCACCUUGUUAAAGACAAAGCAACGGUAUGAGGGAUCCCAAAACUAGACAAUGGCUCGGAGCAUCUGGUCAUCAACAGGUACAUAUAGGAGCCAUGCAAUGUGUCCAUACUUGUUCUGAAAAUUGUCUCGGUGAGCACGUCUCCACUGUUCCCAAAUUCCUACCAUCUUUGUGAAGUCAUUCUGCUGAAGGUCCAAGUGAACUCUCUCAAGUAAAGUUAGGACAUGUCCUUGGGUCAAACAGUCUCCUUUUUCUUGUUGGAUCUGCCCCAUUUGUAACUCUAUCUCAUAGUCAUUUUUGUAUAUGUUGAGCGGAUCUGCCGAUGAAGAUGCCAUGGAUAUAACCGGGAUUUCUUAGGUUGAAUGUUGUGUAGCCAAUAUUUCUCCUAUAUGCAAUUACGAUGCAUGCAAAUGAACAUGUAACAUGCACAUGACAAGCAAAAUAAACUUAAGUUAGUAUGGUAAAAAGAAAUAAUGGAAUGUUAAAAAUAAUGAGAGAAUAACAAGCAAUAUCAUGGGUAUUAUUGUCUACUCCACGAUACUUUAUUAUCUCGGGGCAUAAUUUAAAAUAGAGAGAGUGGAAGAAAGUCCUUCAUGUGUACCUAUUUAUAGGGUAUAUUCUCACGGGUAUGGCCCUAUCUAGGGUUAAGCUGCUCUCGGUACUCUAUAUGCUGAGCGGGGUUUAUAAACAGAGCUAAGGUUCCCAAAUCGUUCCUCACUGUCGUCCACACGGACUAGUAAGGCACCCCGGUCCUCACCCAUUACAGGCUUCAAACGGACUAGGUUCGAUUUGAGUGGGAGUCUUCACUAGCCCGUGCGGAGGUUAUCACCUCACGAGAGCGUAGCUACUAAACUCCCUCCUAAAAAGGACAUAACCCGGGUGGAGGGUUUAUGCAUGAAUGCAAAAUGUGCUGUGUGUGUGAAGGAAANNNNNNNNNNNNNNNNNNNNNNNNNNNNNNNNNNNNNNNNNNNNNNNNNNNNNNNNNNNNNNNNNNNNNNNNNNNNNNNNNNNNNNNNNNNNNNNNNNNNNNNNNNNNNNNNNNNNNNNNNNNNNNNNNNNNNNNNNNNNNNNNNNNNNNNNNNNNNNNNNNNNNNNNNNNNNNNNNNNNNNNNNNNNNNNNNNNNNNNNNNNNNNNNNNNNNNNNNNNNNNNNNNNNNNNNNNNNNNNNNNNNNNNNNNNNNNNNNNNNNNNNNNNNNNNNNNNNNNNNNNNNNNNNNNNNNNNNNNNNNNNNNNNNNNNNNNNNNNNNNNNNNNNNNNNNNNNNNNNNNNNNNNNNNNNNNNNNNNNNNNNNNNNNNNNNNNNNNNNNNNNNNNNNNNNNNNNNNNNNNNNNNNNNNNNNNNNNNNNNNNNNNNNNNNNNNNNNNNNNNNNNNNNNNNNNNNNNNNNNNNNNNNNNNNNNNNNNNNNNNNNNNNNNNNNNNNNNNNNNNNNNNNNNNNNNNNNNNNNNNNNNNNNNNNNNNNNNNNNNNNNNNNNNNNNNNNNNNNNNNNNNNNNNNNNNNNNNNNNNNNNNNNNNNNNNNNNNNNNNNNNNNNNNNNNNNNNNNNNNNNNNNNNNNNNNNNNNNNNNNNNNNNNNNNNNNNNNNNNNNNNNNNNNNNNNNNNNNNNNNNNNNNNNNNNNNNNNNNNNNNNNNNNNNNNNNNNNNNNNNNNNNNNNNNNNNNNNNNNNNNNNNNNNNNNNNNNNNNNNNNNNNNNNNNNNNNNNNNNNNNNNNNNNNNNNNNNNNNNNNNNNNNNNNNNNNNNNNNNNNNNNNNNNNNNNNNNNNNNNNNNNNNNNNNNNNNNNNNNNNNNNNNNNNNNNNNNNNNNNNNNNNNNNNNNNNNNNNNNNNNNNNNNNNNNNNNNNNNNNNNNNNNNNNNNNNNNNNNNNNNNNNNNNNNNNNNNNNNNNNNNNNNNNNNNNNNNNNNNNNNNNNNNNNNNNNNNNNNNNNNNNNNNNNNNNNNNNNNNNNNNNNNNNNNNNNNNNNNNNNNNNNNNNNNNNNNNNNNNNNNNNNNNNNNNNNNNNNNNNNNNNNNNNNNNNNNNNNNNNNNNNNNNNNNNNNNNNNNNNNNNNNNNNNNNNNNNNNNNNNNNNNNNNNNNNNNNNNUUUUUUAUUUUUGUCGUGUGUAUUGCAUUUUCACAAAUUUAUUAUUUACUAUAUAUAUUUGAAUUAUUAUUAUUAUUUUUAUCAUCUUUUUUUAAUCUAUUGUUAUUUAUUUAUCAUUUUUAUUGAGUAAUUUUUGUAUAGUCAAAUUCUUUAUUUUUUAAAAUUUGGGGAUCUUGAAAUCGAGGCUCUCCCAUCGUACUGGUGGAGCUUUGAUUCGGAUUCCGAACCUAGGGAACAUGAGCCUGGGAUUGCGACUUCUUGCGUCCCGACCGAUCAUCCCAUCAUCGGUAUUAAAUUAAUCAAAAUUUUUUUUAUAUUAAAUAAUCUAUUAUCUCAUCCCAUUUUUAUCAACUCUACAUUUUACGUAAAAUUAUCUUCUUUGAUUUGUUUGUCAUUCUACCGAUCUUAUUCCAUUACAUUUUACGUGUAUAUAUAUUAUAUGUUUAGUUUUAGCAAUUAGAUGUAUUUCUUUGUUUUGUUAUGUAUUUAUUUAUUUUUUUCAUCUACCUUUGUAACCAAAUAUCUAUCUCUUCAUAAUUUUAUUAUUACUUAUUAUACAUUUAAUAUAUAUAUAUAUACUAUAUAUAUAUAUAUAUAUAUAUACUCCUAUAUUCUUAUCUAUCUCCAUUUUUUACAUUUUUUAUAUUAUGAAACAUUCUAUUUUUAUUCUUACCUAUUUCUUUUUUUUUGUUUUUGUUUUUAACUAAUCAUCUUUAAAAUGAAAUUCUUGUCAUUCUACCCCUUUGCAUCUUUACACUUUUGCUCACACUAAUUUCCCUAAUUACAGAAUGCUAUUUGAAGAUUUUAAAGCAUUAUAUUAAAAUGAUUUAACUUUGCUAUAUAUCAUCAAUCACCACAAUAAACCCAAUUCAUACCAAACACAAUAAAUUAUGAAAGAAAUAUGGUUUUUUUUUACCUCACUUGGAAUUAGAUGGCAGCCCGAGUGGAAGGAUCACAACCCACUGCACCCUUUUGCCAUGCGCACCAUGGGUAGCUGAAGAAAUGACUUUAUCUUCUCUUGAACGGUGUCGUUUGGAGCCUCUUUUUGCACUAAGGUAUGGUUUUCGUCCUUUCCUCUCUGUUCUUCUUGUUCCUGACUAUUAUGUUGCCCUCUUUCUAAAAAAAUAAUCUCCAUUUGUUCUCUCAUGCUCUCUUUCUUCUCUCCACCCCCCACCAGCGAUGGGAUCCAAGGCUCUUGCCGUCCGCCUUUCACCGGAUCUGAUGUCGCAGCACUAGGCUCACUCUUCCUUCCCUUGCGCCGGCAGCCGCUCCUCUCUCUAUUCCUCCGCUCAGCUCUUCUUUCCCUUUGCGCCAACAGCAGAUCCUUGGCGCCAAUCUGCAGCUGGUAUUCACUUCGGCGACGCAGGUCAGGGAACACGAUCCUCUCUCUACUUGUCUGUGAUAACCGAGCCUUGCUCUCCCCUAAAAACCCAACUCAUCCCCUCCUUUCUAGCCGGCAACAUCUCACCCAAAACUGAAACACUCCCAGUUACUCCAAACCUCUCCUAAAAAUCUAGAUCUUCCCUUAAAAAUCAAAACCCACACUCUAAAAAAUCAAUUCCUAUUUCUCCUAUUUUUUUUUGAUCGAUUUUUCAGUAUUGAUUGUGGAUUUUCGGUUGUUAGGAAGCUUGCUAGGGAUUUUUUGAUUGCUUGUUCUUGUGGCUAGGGAAUUGUUGGCUGCUAGAGAUUAGGGUUUCUUUUGGGUUUUUUUGGUUUCAAUUUCUUUGGCUUACAGGUUGUGCCUUGUUGCUUUGGCUUGCCGGAUCCCCCCAAAUGCUAUAGUGCCCCCUCCCCUUUAUACCCGGUUCCUGGGCUCUGGAGGGGGCACGCUCCACUACCUUGCCAGACACGGAUUUUUCGCGUCUGGUAGGGUGAGGGAGGUGUCUGGGUACUGGCAGGGGGCACGCUCCACUACCCUGCCAGAACUCAUCUUUCAUUUUUUUUUAAUUAUUUAUAUAUUUUAUUUAUUUUUUAGUGUCUACAAGGAGCACACAUGGAGUUGCACACUUGCAUUAUUUUAAAGGUAUUCAAUUGUCCAAUUUGAAAAUGACGAAUUAGAACUGAGAAGAGCACACGUGGGGUUGCACACUUGCAUUAUCUUAAAAUAUUCAAUAAAUCUGGUUUUAAAAUUAUCACCCUAUACAAUUGUUGUCCAAUUAGAAAAUGAUGAAUUACAUAAGAAUUUUGGUAAGAGACUUGAAAAUUAAAAAUGUCACACUAUACAAUAGUUGUCCAAUUCAAAAAUUAAAAGCAUAACACUUGAAAAUUAAAAACAUAACACUUCAAAAUUGAAAGCACAACAAUUGAAAUUAAAAGGCCUAAGGUUAAACUUAUUAAUUGAGCCAGCCAAAGACACGGUGCUUUCAGAUCAACCAGGUACCGGAGUCUUGAUCCCUAGGAUCGUCUCUUGGAAUUUUUGCUGACUCCAUUGCUGUCCGGAAUAUUCUCUCUCUUGAUUCCCUUAAUUCUUCUCGUGCUUCAACUAGAGUUUCAUUUUUUCAGCACGAAUCGGAUAUUCCACCUCAUUAGUAAAAGAGUCAGGAAGUGACACAAGGAACACCAGAGCUAUUUCUUCUUCAUUCGUAUUGACAACCAACUUCUUCAAUUUUUUUAUUAUUAAGAUAAUUAUACUAACAAUUUAGUUAGAGUUAUUAUACAAUACUAUUAUCUAGUUAGACUAAAAUUAUUUAGUUAUAUAAGAUUAGGAUUAACCUUAUAUAUAUACACACUAAGGUAGACAAUUAAAAUAUAUCAAUCAUAAGUAAUUUACAGUUUCAUCAGAGCUUUGUGUUAGAUAAGAUGGUGGCUUGGGUCAAGAUAUUGGUGGCUGAACCAGAGGAUGAUCCGAUGGCUGAGAAGAAUCCUCAGCCCUUGGAUGAAGACGAUAUCACGUUAUUGAAAACUUAUGGUUUAGGUCCAUAUUCUUAUAGCAGCACUAAAGUGGAAAAGAUAUCAAAGAGAUGGCCGAAAAGGUCAAUGACCUUUGUGGUAUCAAAGAAUCAGACACUGGAUUAGCUGCACCCAGUCAAUGGGAUGUUGUUUGAUGAAGUAGAUGCUAUUGGGUGUGCACGUUUUGAUGAUGGAGUUGGUGGAGAUAACGAGGUCCUGCGAACAAUGCUUGAGAUUGUCAAUCAGCUUGACGGGUUUGAUGCCCGUGGAAACAUCAAAGUUCUAAUGGCAACUAACAGGCCAGACACCUUGGAUCCUGUACUUUUACGUCCCGGACGAGUGGACCGUAAGGUUGAGUUUGGUCUUCCUGAUAUGGAGAGUCGGACUCAAAUCUUCAAAAUCCGUACAAGAAUUAUGACUUGUGAAAGGUGCAUUAGAUUUGAACUUCUUGCUCGACUUUGUUCUAAUUCUACAGGUGCUAAUAUAAGGAGUGUAUGCAGAGGCUGGCCUGUUUGCAAUACCAGCACCAAGGAAGAUGAAAACUGAAAAAGAUUUUCUCAAUGUCGUAAACAAAGUCAUUAAGGUUACGAUAAGUUUAGUGCAACUCCAAAUUAUAUGGUAGAAAAUUAGGUCUGAAGGCAUUGUUAAAUAUAUAACAUUUAUUAAUGUUCAAUUUACAGUUUUAUAUUAUACAAGAUUUUACCUUCUUCUAAUAUGGUAAUAGAGCUUCAUCUUUGAUAAAUUAAGAUUCUCUUCUUCAUCUUUGAACUAUUAUAAUAUAACCUAUAAGUACAUUUCUUAUGUCUUUUAAGGAAAAAAUAAACAUUUUUAUUGUCAACUUUUAUGCAAGUCUCUUGCCGGUUAUGUAGAUUGGUAAAGCCAUUCAAAGGAAAUAUAACAUUUUAUUGCAUUUCAAUCAAACCAGUUGCACAUGCAUCCAUGCGCAGAUACAUUCUAGAGGAAAAUUAAAAGCUUAACAUAACACUUGAAAGCAAAAACCCUAAGGUUAAACUUAUUAAUUCAGCCAGCUGGAGAAAAAAGGUUCAUUUCUUUGCGACAUCUUUCUUAGUCUUUUUCUUUUCUGCAUUAGUUUUUCCGUUAUCAUUGCUUUAAUUGGCCGGAGCUUUGUUUUCUGUUGGUUCUUCAACUGAAGUUAUUGUCUCUACAGCAAGAAUCAGAAAUUCCACCAUUUGAUUAAGGAGCUUCAAUGUCUUUUCUGGUUGCUUUAUAGUUUCUUUUCGUUGCUCUAUAUUGUCAGCCAACUUUCGUAACCGUUCUAUGAUUUGGAUGUCCAUUUCUUCACCCUCCAGCUCCAAUUUCUGAACAAAUAUUUCAUCCAUCUUAGAAAAUCAUUUGAAAAAAAAGAAAAAAUAAUUAAGCAAACCGAAAAUGUAAAGCAAUUUAAAUUAAUUGAUUAAUUUUCACCAUACGCUAAGUGAAACAUUUAUUGUAUUGUUGAAAAAUUAAAGUAAAAUAAAAUCUUUUUUUUAUGUGCCAAGCCAAUUCAGAUUGAUUGGACACUCUCUCUCAAUAGCCUCUUAAAAAUAUUUACUCACACCCACAAAUUCUAGCAAAUCUGGAGAAAAAACCCAGUUACAUGGUGUUUAACUCUGUAGAGAUUCCAAAUGUACCAUAGUUUUGUAUUUUGGGGGGAUUGGUCCAAAAAAUGUUAAAACUGAGAACUGACCAAAAAAUCAAUUGGACUAAACAUUUUGGAGCAAUUGAUCCAAUAAAUCAAUUAGAUUGAACCAUUUUAGCCAAAUCACAUUUGAUUUCGGUGAGAAAUUAGUCUAGUUUGAUUUUACUCACCCCUACGCAACACUAUUAGCAGACCUAGGAAUAUGAAAGAUAAGCUAUUCCUUCAGUUUACUGUCAGAUUGGGAAUAUGAAAUAUUCUAGCAAACCUAGAGAAAAAAAAAACAAAAAAGGGGGAUAUGUAGAGAUUGCAAAAGUACCUGUGACAAGAAGUGGAUGAGUCUUUGUUGUGUUCACGUUUAUAGGGGUGGAUGAGUUCACUUCACACUCAGUUUUUCAAUGCUUACUAUUUUGUGGAUGCUGCAAUGAUAUGCUGUGAUAUGGUGUUGCUUAAUACUAUGUCAUAUAUUUAAGUCAUUACUAUAGCUCUUGGUUCUCUUUCCUGAAUUGCCUUAUUAAGUUCUUGCUAGCAAGUGCUGUUCCAUGCCUUCAUUUUGUGUUUUCUUCUUUUUGCAACAGAUUGUUCUCUUCAUCUGUUGCUUGCAGUUGCUGUACUUACUUUUGAUUUUAAUGAAAAUACUUGAUUCGUUGAGUGAAAUAAAAAAAAAUAUAUCUCCAAACGUUUAUAGAGGGGGAUGAGUUUGAGCUCCUUCAGUUCGAAAAACAAAGCAAAAAAUAUGAGCACCUGCUUAAAUCUUUGAAAACAUAACUUUGACGUUUGCUUGUUGUGUGCUUUUAUGUCUUUUAUGUUAAAGCAUUGCAAAAGUUUUAUAUAUAUAGAAACAAUAGAAUAGAGGUGGAUACCUUUUUGGCUGCUGAAGACCCUUCUUUCCCCUCCAUAAGUUUAAUCGGCCCUGGCACGUCAUCUAAGCUGAGGACAUUCAGGUUCUUGCUCAUUGUCACACACCGUAGCUAAACAAUAGAAUGGAGUUGCACACUUGCAUUAUUUUAAAGGUAUUCAAUUGUCCAAUUCAAAAAUGAUGAAUUAGAACUGAGAAGAGCACACAUGAGGUUGCACAAUUGCAUUAUCUUAAAGAUAUUCAAUAAAUCUGGAUUUAAAAUUAUCACACUAUACAAUAGUAGAUGUUUUAUGAAUAAAUAUAUGAAGUAUUAUAUUUUAACUAUUAACUACACGUUAAUUUGUACUUAAAAAAAUACAUGUUAAUUUGGGUAACAUGUCAUGGCAUUAGUCAAAUUGAUUCCAUAUAUUAGUUUUUUUUUGUUAUAAUAUAUGUCGACACUUAUCUAUGUUUGUGAGAGUUGAACUGUUAGAUGAAUUUGUAAUUUAUUUAAUUUUGUUAAAGCCAAUAAUUAUAGUGACUUAAUUAUUGGUGAGAUCCGAAGGCACUUGUCGUUUUAAUUUCGAGCAAGUCAACUGAGGUUAAUGAUCCUGUUUGCAAGAGAUUCCAAGUGAUUUCAGCCCGACUGUUGUUUUUAAUUCUAACCAUCCAUGGCUCAUAAGAAUAAAAGAAGAUUAUCGCCUCUAUAAUAUAGUAGAAUUGCGAACUUUAACUUGCUACAAGAUGAAAUUUACUAUAAUCUACUCUAAUUCUGAAAUAUAUAUAUAAAUAUGUAACUAAUAAACACAGGCAUGUGAAGAUACUGCCAAAACUCUCAGAUCAACAUAGAAUUAUUAUAUUGGUUCUAAUUAUAUGUCUUUUAGAUCCAAUAAUUUAAGAUACCACACAAUAAUAAAAGUUGUUCAUGUAUGAAUUCACACUUUGGAUUAAUGUGAAAUAAUGUUUUUUACAUAUUAAAUUAUCAAUUCAUAAUAUCACAAGACAAUUUCUAAUUACAUUUAAUAUUUUAAUUUGUCUUGACUGUCGAAAUAAGAAGGAAGUACAUAACAUAGUGUUCAUGAGAUUGUCAUUUUUCAUGAGAUAUCUUACAUCAACUUGAAAUACUUUUAUGUUUGAUAAAUGCAAAUUUAUUUUAGUCUAAGUUAAUACUAACUAUAGGUAAUGUAGAGUAUGAUUUUUUUUUUGAAAAGUAAAUUUGUUGACUUAAAGAUAUUCAAUUGUCCAAUUCAAAAAUGACGAAUUAGAACUAAGAAGAGCACACAUGAGUUUGUGCACUUGUAUUAUUCUAAAGGUAUUCAAUUGUCCAAUUCGAAAGUGACAAAUUAGAAUUGAGAAGAGCACAUGUGGGGUAGCACACUUGCAUUUUCUUAAAAUAUUCAAUAAAUCUGACUUUAAAAUUAUCACACCAUAUAAUAGUUGUCCAAUUCGAAAAUGACUAAUUACAUAAGACUUUGGAUAAGAGACUCUUCAUGACAUAAGAAUUUGGUUUACACAAAAAGCCUGAACAAUUACAUAAAACUACUGGUGGCAUUGCACAAAGGCAUUCCUAGCCAAAGGCCGAGGGAGGGGGGCUAGUAUCCCCCCAAUCAAACUUUUAAAAUCUUAUAGUUUUCUCUUAUCUUACCUUGGCACCACCACUGUUCGUAGCUAUGUAUAGUUAGUUUACUUAGUCAUGCUUACUUUACCUCUGUUACUCUGUAUAGUAGUUUGGCUUAUUUUCUUCUUUUACUCUUUUACCCUUCAAUAUUUGUUGUAUAACAAUUUUACCAUCAUAUAUAAAUGGUUGGCUUCUUUUGUACACUUUAUUAGAUGAAAUAUUAUUGAAAAAUUCCCAAAAUAUGGUUCUUAUUCUCUGCAAAAUCUCUUGAUUCUUCAUGUGGUUCUUAUUCUUCAUGUGGGCUCUAGACUCGAUUUUGAUUUUUCCGCAUCAAUUUUCUCUAUCAAUUAAUUGUUUCUUGUUUCUUGAUUCAUUCUUUUGGUUUUUCCGCUACUGAUUCUUCUUGUUUCUUUAUGAGAAAUUGUAUUAGGUUUUUAAUUUUCUCUUGGUUUCUUGAAGCUUAGGUUAGGAAUCUCUUGUGUAAAAUAUUUUACAAAGCAACAAGAAAAACACUUAUUGACCAUGUAAAAUGUCUUAUGCCUUUGAAAGGUGUAAGAUAUUUUCCAGAGAAUAGAAAAAUGCUCUUAUAUUAAACCCAGCAAUAUAGGUUUGAUGAAUGUUAAUAUUUUUUUCAAAUUUGAUGAAUAUUAAUAAUUAACUUAAAAUAUUAAAAAAAUUAAAAAAUAUUAAUAUUUACCUCUAAAAAUUUUUUAACUUACAUUAUUAAUAUCUAAAUUAUUCAAUACUAUUUAAAAUUAAAAAAUAUUUUAAUAAAAUCAUCCAAUGCAAAUAUUUUUAUUUAUAAAUUGAAUAAAUUUUACUAUUAAUUACAACAAAAAUAUUUUAAUGAUCUUCAUUUGAUGUUUUACUCAAAUUGAUGAAUAUUGAUAUUUUUAUAGUGUUAUGUUAAGAAAAAUGAUGAGAUGGAAAUCUUGUUGAAAUUUAAAACUUACUUUUAUUACAAUAUGUGGUUAACCUACAAGUCUUUUAUUUUUAAGGUUCUAGACUUAAUAUGGCAUCAGGCUAUGUGAAGAUAAUAAAUUCAUUUUUUAAAAAAAAUGACACUAUUGUUUUGCAAUAAGAUCAUAUUUAUCAUUAUAAUACUCAAAUAACUUUGAUGGACGAAAAUAUUUUUCACGGGUUGAUCAAAAUAAUAACAUUUUAAAGAUGUUUUAGCCUCAAAUAUCUCAUUUAUUUUAAAAAAUCAAAUAUAAUAGAGUAAAACACGAGACAUAUGUAGCACAUAACAAAUAAACUAAAUUCAUUUUCUUGUUUUCCACAAAUCUUGCCGUUAUGAUUUUCAUUAUAAUAUUUUUGUUUUCUGUACAUGUGAAAGUUUAUCACACUGAAAGUUGCAUAUAGGAAAAACUGUGACUGUGGAUGACUAAAACUUUCACAUUUUGAUCAUUCAUGAGUUGAUUUGGUGGGUUGUUUUUUUGCUGUGUAUGGCUUUGAUAAUUUGAAACAGAGCAGAUCCUAUGGCAGCUCGCUGUAAUUCUAUUUGAUCAAAUAUACAACUUUUGCCUUUCAAAAAAAAAAAAACAUAUAUAAUAUAAGAGAUAAUCAUCUCACAUCUUAUAAAAGUUUACCUUUAUAAUCUUUAAGAUUCAAACUUAAGAUUUUUAUGUUGAAAGUUCGAACCUUAGCCAUUGGUAUUUUCUUGAAGACAUUAUGUUUUAUGAUAUCAUUGUCACAUUUCUUAUCAUUGUCACAUUUCUUACUUUAAAAAACAAAAUAGUAAAAAAGGUACGUAAUUACAAUAAAAGCAAACAAUUUAUUCGAAGUAUUAUAGGAAACAUAAAUAAUUUUUGAGAUAACAAAAUACAUAAUUUUACUUAUAUAUAGACUAAUCAUGUCAUAGUUGACAAUAUAAAAAAAUUGAUAGUCACAAAGAAGACACCUUAAUGAAAUUGGAUGUAAGAGUUUGACACAUUUGUUAGUGUAGACUGUAGUACGUAUAGGUACAUAGCUAUCCCUUCAAUCAAGAAAUUUUCAAUAAGUUAGUUUCAUAAAUCUUUUGUUAAAAUGCAUUAAGUCAUAAAUUUCAAGAUAUUUAAUUUGUCCUAUUCGAAAAUGACGAAUUGCAAUAGAAAAAAGAACACAUGGGAUUGUACACUUGCAUUAUCUUAUAGAUAUUCAAUAAAUAGAAUUAUCACGUAGAAAUCUUAAGCCCUCAUGAUAAUUUUGUUAAAGUCAAUGUUUAUAUAGUGAUUUAAUUAUUGGUGAGAUUCGAGAGCACUUCUCAUUUUUUUUUUUGAGCAAGUCGAAGGAUGUUAAUGAUUGCAGGCAAAUUGUUGUUUUUAGUUAUAACCAUUAAUGUGGUUACCACUAGAUGAAAUUUAGGAUAAUCUAUUAUAAUGUUGAAAUAUAUAUAUAUAAAUAAUAAACACAAGCAUGUGAAGGUAAUGCCAAAGCGCUCCAUCAAAUUGUUGUCAACUCAUAAUGCAAGAUUCUUAUAUCUUAUCUUCAGCCAAUUGUUGCUAAAUCUUGAUUCCUUUGGCAGACAUUGGGUACAUUGAAUCCUACGUAAUUGUACAUAAGACAACUUUAGUCCCAACUUCCGAAAUCCAGGCUACAAGAAUUUGUUUUUUGGAGGAUGUAAGUUUCAACUACACAUGUAGAAGCUUCUCCCAAAGACAAAAUCAACUUCUCCAGCAAGCAACUUAGACGUGCAUUGGGUAACGAAACAUAACCAUUUUUUAAACAUCAAUGUUCGAGAAUUCUCAAAAUUCCCGUCCCUUGUGUGGGGAGAGAAAUAGACAGAAGGAUUAAAAAAUAAAAUGAGGAUUUCAUAUAGAAUGCUACAAGCUGUCAAAAUUUUAUAAUUAUUACAAGCCUAAACCAUGGUGAGAAUGCAUUUUAACUCUUGCUUUAAAAUGAAUGUGUUUAAUUAUUAUAUUUACCGUAAUAUAUAGUAUCUUUUGUUAAAAAGAAUUUUUAUGACUCAUAUGACCAUCUCAUAAUUUGUUUUUUUUUUUUUUUUUGCUCAGCCAAGAAAAGAGAUUAUAUUAAUAGAAAUGAGAGUACUAGAUGAGUGAGCAAAUGAGCAAACUUGCCCAAAGCUUACAAGCUCCAAAAUCUCUGAAUAAUAUCUUGAAUAUCCGUCACAUUGAGCUAACUAUUCUAACAAAAUUGAUCCAAAUAGUUUGACUAAGAUACAACUUUUAUAUGUAAAAUUUAUAUUAUUUACACACUAUCAUCAUUUAUUUCUCUUCUUUUAAAAUUUUGAACUAUUAUAAUACAACCCUAUUGAUAAAUAAAAGCAUAGCACUUGAAAAAUAAAAACAGAACACCUGAAAAUUAAAAGCAUAACACCUAAAAUAAAGAACAUAGCACUUGAAUUAAAAACAAAACACUCGAAAGUUAAGCGAACAACACUUUAAAAUUAAAAACAUAACAUUUGAAAACCAAAAGCAUAGCACUUGAAAGUUAAGAGCAUAACACUUGAAUAUUUGUCAUGGCAAUGUUUAUAGUGAUUUAAUUAUUGGUGAGAUUCGAAGGCACUUCUCGUUUUAUUUUCGAGCAAGUCAAAGGAAGUUAAUGAUCUGGUAGACAAGAGAUCCGAAGUGAUUGCAGCAAAUUGUUGUUUUUAAUUAUAAACAUCGGUGGUUACCCCGAGAUGAAAUUUAAAAGAAUCUAUUAUAAUGCUGAAAUAUAUGUAGAAAAAGUAAUCCUCUAUUAUGCUUUUUUCACCGAAACUUUGAUAUAUAUAAAAUUAUUCAAAAUUAAUCCAUAUGUUGAUAAGUAUUUGACAUAUGUUUUCAAUUAGACUCUAAUAAUAAAAUCCUACGUUCUAUAACCUUAUAACGGGAUCUAAUGAGAUUUGUAAGAAAGAUAAAAAAGCCACAACCAAAAAGACAAAGAGAUAGCUUUUAUUAUUUCUCCAUUGUUGCUUGCAAAGAGAUAGGCCUGCAAAUACUGUAUAAAAAAUGAUUACUUUGAGAGUUAGCGCUACUUUGAUUUUGGAAUUUUAUUGAUCUACUACCUAAUCCAUGAGUAACAUGAUAAUAAAAUAUUGCAAGAUUCUUGAUUCUUAUCUUCGGCCAAUUGUUGCUAAAUUUUGAUUCCUUUGGCAGACAUUGGGUAUUAUUAAAUCCUACGUAAUUGUACAUAGGACAACUUUGUCCCGACUUCCAAAAUCAAGGCUACAAGAAUUUGUUUUUUAGAGGAUGAAAGUUUCAACUCUACAUAUAGAAGUUUCUGCCCAAGACAAAAUCAACACAAUUUAAUUUUAUCUAAAUGUUUAAAAAGCAAAUAAUUAUUUAAAUUGAAAUUAACAAAACUAAUUAACAAGAAUAAAAAUCAAAGUAGAAAUAAAAUUUGAUAAAAAUCAAUAGAAUUAAGUCUAGAAUUACAAUAUCUCUCAUACUUCAUCUAAAUCUUUUCUGUCUUCCUUAGUUUAUUUCAAUGAGUUGAAUUGCUAAUCUAGAGUUUUCAAUUAUUUAUAAGGAUCUUCCUACUCGUCUUAUAAAAAUAUAUAUUUUAACUAAAACAAUAUAUCUUUAUGUGAAUUGAAAUUAGAAUAGACUCAUUAAGUUUAGGUUCCGACUCUGGCUACAUAUGCCAAAUAGGUAUAUCUUUAUCCUAUACACAAAUCAAUUAAUAUGAUCAUAUGUUAUUCAAAUCUUAGCCUACACUAAACUCUCUCUCCUAAGUUAUAUUUAGGUUUCUAAAUCAAUUUAAUUGGUAGCUAAGCAAUUAAAUGCAUUAAGAAUAAAUUGGAAUAAACAAUUCAAUUCCAUUGAAAUAAAGCAAUAAAGAGAUUAAAAAUUCAAAUUACAUGUGAGUUCAAUUGCAAUCUUGAAAAAAAAAUUAUCUACUCGUAAUUGCAAAGAUAAAUCAAAAUAUGUGAAGUUUAACCAUUAAGAAUAAUAAGAAAAAUAAAAGCUAAAGAAGAAGAAGACAGAACAAAUAUUUGCAGUCUUACUCUCCAAGUUUUAGCCUCAAUUUUUAGUUUCUUGAAUCUCAGAGGGUUGUGUUUUUAACUUCUUUCAAAGUACUAUUUAAAUACUAAUAAUUUUGACCUAAAAUUCCGUAAAUUAAACAUAGUUUAACCUAAUGACUCAACUUGAGGGCUGAGAAGUGUUAUGAAGCCCAAACAUCAAACAUAAUCCUUCAAAUUGCCUUUCCCGUAGCAUUACACUCAAUAAUAUUCCGACAUGAUUUUUUCUAUCUUCCAGAUAAAACUAGACCAAGUGAUCUAUAUACAGUUGUAGCUUUGUCUCUUAGUUUUCCAAUGGCUUAAGAAUCGCAUCAUUUUGGCAUAUGGAGUGAGAGUUAUGAUCAAAAUACUAAAGCAUGUACAAGCAGGAUUUUGGCUCCUUGAAACACCUUUCUUUCCCAAAUUAGGGCUUAUCAGUUUAAAUCCUACAAAAGCAAAAAACUAAUAAAUAAUAUCCAAAUUAAAGUAAAUAAAGAUAAAAUUAAAAUAAAUCAAUAAAAAUAUACUAAUUAGAAAAACAACAAAGAAUAAUUAAAGUCUAGUCAAACUUUAAGGACUUACCUAACAUUUAAGAACAAAAUGAAACUAAAAUAAUUCUAUACAAUAGAAUUAUCAAUGAGAGCCACAACCCUCAAGGAAUUUUUCAAAAAUAAGGAUCUUAUAAGAUUUUGGCAAUUAGGGCUUUUGGAGGCUACUUAAGGGUCCUUUUCUAGAGGUUUAAGAGAGAAGGCAGCGAGUAAUUUCUCAAUAGGAAAAAGUCAAAAGCAAAGCAAGAGAAUUUGAGGGAGAAUCAAGAUCACAAAGCUUUAACUAUUAGUUUGCUCUCUCUACUUGUGUGUUUUUUUUUUUUUACUUUGAUUAGAGGCUAAUUUUCUUUAGAUGAAGUUUUUAUUAGAUAUUAUGAGCUAAACUAUUUUUCUAGGAUUGUGGUGGAUUUCAACAUGCAGUUUGAAUAUUUGUUUCUUUUUUAUUUAUUAUGAAUAGGUGUAGUUUUACUUCAAAUUUACUUUUGAUUGUUUGGCCAACAAUUAAUUAAUUUGUAAAUCUAAUUGAAACUCGAUAGAGAGAUUUUAGAUUUAACUAAAGUUUGAAUAGUGUAUGUCCAUGUCAUUUAGGUGAUUCGAUUCGCGAUUCGGAUAAACAUAUGUCAAUUGCCAUAUAUAGUCAAAUUAGAAUAUUAGCUUAAUGAACCUUAUUUAAUUGAUUAUUAUAGAUAUAUAGUGACCCAAUUAAGUUAGGUAUUUGUGCAAGCAUCUCGAUGGAGGGUUGUACAUAAUUUUGGAUUCUAGGUUAGUAUAACCACCCAUGAAUGUAAAUAAUAAGAGAUGUUGAUAUUCGAUGAAGUGUUGAAUGAACCCAUAAUCAUAGGUUUUCAUCUAUUACCUUUCUCAAGUAAAUUUUAAGUUAUGUUAAUUAAUUUCGUGUUUGCUUUAAUUUAGUUUUAAUUAAUUUUCUAAAGAAUUUAGUUACUUGAAUAAGAUUAAUUUUUCAUAAUUUUAUUACUUAGUGAAGAUUUAGGAACAAAUCUCUGGAUGAUACAAUUCUAGACUUACUGUCUAUAUUACUUGUUCGAUACGUAUACUUGUGUAUACUAAAUCCAAUAACAAGUUUUUAUAUUUGCAUAAUAUGAGCAUCCUAUUCUACUGCAUAUUUUUAUGAGAGAAAAUUAGAGAAUUUUUUCAAGAUUAUCAAAGUAAAAAGUAAUCCUCUAUUAUGCAUUUUUCACCCAAACUUUGAUAUAUGUAAAAUUAUUUAAAAUUAAUCCAAAUGUUGAUAAGUAUUUGAUAUAUGUUUUCAAUUAAAAAAACAUUCGGAUAUUUAGAAUUUUAGACUCUAAUCUAAAAACCCUACAUUCUAACCUUAUAAUGGGAUCUAAUGAGAUUUGUAAGAAAGGUUAAAAAACGACCAACAAGACAAAGAGAACCUUUAGGUAGUUUUUAUUAUUUCUCCAUUGUUGCUUGCAAUGAGAUAGGCCUGCAAAUACUAUAUAAAAAAUUAUUAUUUUAAGAGUCAGCUCUACUUUGAUUUUGGAAUUUUAUUGGUCUACUACCUAACCAAUGAGUAAGAUGCUAAUAAAACAUUGCAAGAGUCUUGAUUCUUAUCUUCAGCCAAUUGUUGCUAAAUCUUGAUUCCUUUGGCAGACAUUGCAUAUAUAUUAAAUCCUACGUAAUUGUGCAUAGGACAACCUUUGUCCCAACUUCCGAAAUCAAGGCUACCAGAAUUUGUAUUUUCGAGGAUGAAAGUUUCAACUAUACAUAUAGAAGUUUCUUCCGACGACAAAAUCAUUUGUUAAAAAGAAUAUUUAUGACUCAUGACAAUCUCAUAAAUUUUUUUUUCUCAGCCAAAGAAAGAGAAUAUAUUAAUAGAAUUGAGAGUACAAGAUGAGUGAGGAAAUGAGCAAAUUUGCUCAAAGCUUACAAGCUCAAAAAUCAUGAGAAAACAAGAAACAACAGCUGGUUGGAAAUAAGCAAAAUGACGCAAAAUAAAAGGCAAGAAUACUAGUGCUGCUGAAGCAUAUGGCAAGGCAUCAAUGACCAAACCGAGACACAGGAUCGGCCCUUGGGUAAAACCAACCAAGCAAGGGCUUUAACCUCCAAAUUUGGAGAGGUUCAUAAUUUUAUAAUAAUUAUAAUAUAAUUAAUUUUAUUAAAAAUAUAUAAAAAUUAAAAUAAUUAAUAAAACAUUUAUAAGAGUGGUGGCCAGUAAUGGAGAUCAGUUACUGCAGAUGUGAUAGGCAUAUGCAAAGGUAAGUCAUCCUAGUAUGCGAGCAAGUUAAUGGAAAGUGGUGAUGGAGAAAGACGGUGGGUCGACAGUUUGUUCUUGGUGUAUGUCUACAACCUAAGCAAGACGGUGACUUGGUCAGCGAUCAAAGGUGCCUUGAGGAGUACAGUAAGGUGGUUGAUGCGUUCAUUCUGAGAAGAAAUUAUCAAGAUCAAGGGAGAGCCUUAGGGUUUGCUUUUGUAAGAUAUGGAGAAAGAGCUGAGAUGGAAAAGGUUCUAAAUUGGGAAGGUCAUUAGUGGCUUGAUGGGAGAAGAGUACUGGUUCGAACGGCAGAACCAAUGAAACAGAUUCUGAGAAAGGGAAAAAAGGUAUUAGCAACAAAGCAUGGGAAAAGACAAAGGGUGAAGAACCGAAAGGUUGAUAGCAGGUCAUUUAGAGAGGUAGUCUGAGCUAGAGGCAAGGGCAGCUCAAUAACGUCAAAAGCUUAAAGCAAAAUAUUCAAAUGAGACCCUUUUAUUGAAAUUAAGAAAAAAAAAAUUUAAUUUUGAAUAACCAAAUUCAUAUUUUUGAUUUGACAUAUUCAAAUAUUUAUUAGGAAAUACUAAAAAUAUUUAACUAUUAUAAUUAUUUUAUAUUUUUCAAAUGGUUAAUAUAAAAUCAACAAUCAAAAUUUUUAAUUCAAAUAAAUUAAAUAUCACAUAAAAUAAAAACAAUAUAACAAUAUAAUAUAAACUUUAAAUUAAAGUAAAAAAAUCUGUAAAGAUUAGAACAAUAGUAUCUAAUUGUUAAAUGUUUAUUACAAAUCGUAAAUGGAGCUCACUGUUUUAUGAAGAUAAUAGCAUAGUAGAUUCCUGCGUAUUCUUUGAAAGAAAAUUAAAGUUAAAAGAAAGAAAGAGCAGAUGAAGAAAGACGAAUUCAAUAGUGAAUAUUAUAAAUUGAAAAAAAAAAUUGAUUUUAUAUAUAAGAAAUAAAAUUACUAUUGGAUAUCUUUAAAUAUAUCUUACCGUUAGUUAAUUGGAAAUAGAAUAAAUAGGUGAGAAAAACUAGCUAUUGGAGAUCAUUAAUUACAUAUUAAUGUUAAUUGCUUAGAAAUAGGAAAAAUAGUUGAAAAUUAAUAGUAUGGUAGGAAUUGGGAAGUGAUAAAACUUUGAGAUUUAUUAGGCACAUAAUUAGAAAAGUGACAGAAUACAUCAUUUUGUUAAUUAUUUUUUACUUUUACAUCUUUUUAAUAAGAAAUGAGGUAAUUAGUUCACAAGUAAUAGGAAUGUUGAAAUGAAAGAAAAUAAAUAUUUAUUAGACAUGAGAAAAUAUGUAAAUAUUUUAUUAAUUAUCUUAAUUUAUAUAUAUUUUUAAUAUUAUUAAUUAUAUUAUUAUUAUAAAAGUAUGGGACCUCUCUAAAUUUGGGGCCUAAACCCUUCCUUGGGUGGCUUUACGCAAGAACCGGCCCUAGCUAGACGUGGUAUGGACAGAAAAGAGGAACAAUGUGUCAAGAGCAUAGGAAAAGAAGAUGAAUCCUCAACAGAGCUGAAAAGGUGACCAAAGGAGAUAAAGAAAGACAUCAACCAAAUGGUAAGGGAGUGAUUUCGAUCAAAACUAACAUCCCUGAUGAAGAGAUGACAUGGAUUAAAAGUAAUGCUGUGGGGAAACUUAAAACCAAAAUAACUUGUGGAGCUUUACAAACGGGUUUGCUUUAUGAAGGGAUCAAAGUCCAGGUGAAGGUCAUUGAGGGUGGAUCGAUUCUCAUUAGUUUUAACGAUCAAGAAGCAAUGGAAUGUUUGUUGGAAGUUUAUGCAGACCUGUUUGGAGUAUGGUUUAAGUCCGUUAUCCUCCUUUCACUUGCUAAUCCAGAUAGGGAUUUAAGACUUUGGGUCCGCUUAACUGGGGUACCAGUCCGGUUGUGGGAGGUAAACACUUCCAAAGCCAUUGCAGAGUGUUGAAGGGAGUUAUUAGCGGUGGACAAAGGUAUGUUUUAGUUUGUGUCCAUGUUGUAGUCUUUGUAAACACUUCUCCCAUCGACUGUUUUCGCCUGUAGGCUUCAGUGAAUCUGAUUCUGUACAGGGAUUUAAUUCUCCCUUCUUUUGGUAUAGUAAUACAACCAUUCCUUUGCUUCUAAAAAAAAUACUAUACUAUGGUAAAUAUAAUCAUCAAACACAUUCAUUUGGUUUGUUCAUAAAAAUAAAUAAAAUAAACAAGAGUCGAAACGUAUUAUCAUCAUGUUUUAGGUGUGUAAGAAUUAUAAAAUUUUAACAGCUUGUAGCAUUCUAUAUGAAAAUGAAAUCCUCACUAUUUUUCAAUCCUACUGUUUAUUUCUCUCCCCACAGAAGGAUGGGGAAUUUUGAGAAUUCUCGAACAUUGAUGUUUAAUAAAUCGUUAUGUUUCCUUACCCAAUGCAAGUCAAAGUUGCUUCCCGGUGAAGUUGAUGUUGUGUUCUGGAGAAACUUCUAUACGUAGAGUUGAAACUUUCAUCCUCGAAAAUACAAAUUCUUGUAGUCUUGAUUUCGGAAGUUGGGACAAAAAUUGUCCUAUGUACAAUUACCUAGGAUUUAAUAUAAAUACCCAAUGUCUGCCAAAGGAAUCAAGAUUUAGUAGCAAUUGGCUGAAGAUAAGAAUCAAGACUCUUGCAAUAUUUUAUUAGCAUCUUACUCAUGGUUAGGUAGUAGACCAAUAAAAUUCAAAAAUCAAAGUAAAGCUAACUCUCAAAUUAAUAAUUUUUUAUAUAGUAUUUGCAGGCCUAUCACAUUGCAAGCAACAAUGGAGAAAUAAUCAAAACUAUCUAUAGGUUCUCUUUGUCUUUUUGCUCGUUCUUUUUAUCUUUCUUACAAAUCUCAUUCGAUCCCGUUACAAGGUUAGAAUGUAGGAUUUUUAGAUUAGAGUCUAAAAUUCUAAAUGUCCGAAUGUUUCCUUAAUUGAAAAAAUAUAUCAAAUACUUAACAACAUUUGGAUUAAUUUUAAAUAAUUUUACAUAUAUCAAGGUUUCAGUGACAAAUGCAUAAUAGAGGAUUACUUUUUUGUUUCUUUGGUAAUCCUGAAUAAAUUCUCUAAUUUCCUCUUAUAACAAAAUUUACGUAGGAUAGGAUGCUUGUAUUAUGCAAAUACAGAAGUAGUUACAAGUUGAGGUAAGAUAUCUCAUAAGAAAAUGACAAUCAAGUUUUUCAACACUAUCUUAUGUAGAUACACAAAUUUAACAAAUUAAAAUAUGAAAUGUAAUUAGAAAUAGUUUCAUGAUAUUAUGAGUUGACAAUUUAAUAUAAAAAUAAAUAUAAUGCGAUAAAAUGUGAAUUCAUACAUAUGAUAACUAGAACCAAUAUAAUAAUAUUUAUGUUGAUAGAGAGUUUUGGCAUUACCUUCAUAUGCUUGUGUUUAUUAUUUUUAUAUAUUUUUAGCAUUAUAAUAGAUUAUCUUAAAUUUCAUCUUGUGGUAAUCACUUCAGAGCUCUUGUCUACAAGAGCAUUAAAUUCCGUUGACUUGCUCGAAAAUAAAAUGAGAAGUGCCCUCGAAUCUCACCCAUAAUUAAAGCACUAUAAGUAUUGGCUUUAACAAAAUUGUCAUGACGGCUUAAGAUUUCUACUAGAAGAAGUUACACGAUAAUUCUAUUUAUUGAAUAUUUUUAAGAUAAUACGAGUGUGCCACCCGCAUGUGUGCUCUUCUCUGUUGCAAUUCGUCAUUUUCCAAUAGGACGAGUUGAAUAUGUUGAAAGCCAAAACUUAAUGCAUUGAAACAAAAUAUUUAUGAAACCACCUUAUUGAAAAUUUCUUGGUUGAAGCGAUAGCUAGGUACCUAUACGUACUACAAUCUACGCUAACAAAUGUGUCAAACUCGUACAUCCAAUUUUCAUUAAGGUGUCUUCUUCGUGACUAUCAAUUCUUUUAUAUGUUUGGAAAGAGUUCUCCUCGUUUGGAGAAAUCAUAUUUUGAAGUGCUCUUGAACCAAAGCAAAAAUGCAAAAUCAUAUUGAUUAGAAAUGAAAAAUAAUAAUUAAGUAUAUCAUCAAUUAUGACAUGAAAAAAAUAUAUUUAUGUUUCCUAUGGUACUUCGAAUAAAUUGUUUUCUUUUGUUGUAAUUACGUACUUUUUUUACUAUUUUGUUUUUAAAAGUAAUAAAAGUGAUAAUUAAAUGCAGUGUAAAUUAUUAUAGAGGAAAUUGUGAGAAAUAGUUAAUCUCAUAAGGCCAUUUAAAAAAUAGCCCUUAAUAUAAAAUUAGUUGUUUUUAUCUAAUUUUUUCUAUGAUUUAACAAAAAUACUCUUAAAACCAUUUCAGAUAAAUUAAACCAUUUAUUACAACUUCCCUUAGUGAAUUCUCUCUCUGCCUUCCAUCUGUUGGGCUCUUGAUUUCUCUCUUUCGUCAUCUAGCUCUCUCUAAUUUUAUCAAUUUCUCUCUUCUGCAUCCGUUUGCUGUGCUCCUAAUUUCUCUCUCCCGCCAUCCAACUCUCUCUAAUUUUACCACCAUCGCCAUCUCUUUCUGUCUAUUUCUCGCCAUAUCGUUGUCGAUUUACAAACCAAAGAGCAGAGAUGACAUUAAUGUAUGUUCUUAUGUUUAUUGAUUUACAUUCACAGAACCUCAAAGGAUAGGUUGAAGUUAUAUAAGUGAAAUCUGUAAAUUAAAACACUAUCCAAAGUUGUUACAUGCAGGCAUGGCGUGUAACAAAUCUAUUGAAUAUGGUAUAGUUUAAAAAUGACAUGUAACUAGAUCUCUAUCAUCGUAUUUCACUAAGACAUAAAUAUUUGGAUUUAAACAUUUUAAGCAUGACGUGUAAUACUUUUUUUUUUCAACAUGACGUUUAAUAACUUUUUUUUCAAUAUGGUGCGUAACUUGGUCUCUAUCGUUGUAUUUCAUUAGGAUAUAAAUUGUUGAAGUUAAGCACCUUAAACAUGGCAUGUAAUAACUUUUUUUUUUCAACAUAGUGCAUAAUAAUUUUUUUUCAACAUAAUGUGUAAUAAUAUUUUUUUAGCUACUCGCCGAAACUCUUGCAAUAGCUACAUAUCACCAAUGCAUCCUUAGGGUUAUAGCUAUCAAGGCUUGAGGAUCCUUCUGUAGCAAUCCCACCAACUCAAGAGAAAAAAAAAAACAAAAGAUUCAUUGAAAACCAAAACAACUUUUUCUCCACUUCUCUUUUUCUUUUUUUCCAUUUGUUCACUUGUGUGUAUGAGAGGAUGAUUAUGAUGAUGACCCUUCUUUCUUCUUUUUUAUCUUUCUUUUUUUUAUGAUUUAAAUCUUUUGUUGUUUGUUUUCACAUAUCAAUAUCAUGGUUCCUGAGUAGUGGUGCUGUUGAUUUUUUCUUUUUAAAAAAAAAAACAUUUUUUUCAACAUGUAUGCUUGAGUACAAGGAGGCUUCAUUAAGGGUCAUUUUGUCAAAAAAUCUUCUCUUGACAAAAAAUAAUUAAAAUUAAAAUGAAAGUUAUUUUCUAAAAAGCCUUAUCUUUGAAGGUUAAAAAAAAAUUGUCCCAUUAUCAUAGGUGUUAGUGAUUGGUUUGCUUGAAUGUAGCUAGUUUCCUACUUUCUGUCCAUCAUUGAGGUCCUUUCUUUUUAUUAACAAAAGAAGUUUCUUUGAGAGAUCUUCAUAUAAACUUUAUUUACUAAUCAAUAAAUGGUAGCUAACUCCCCUUUAAGUUAAUCUCAAUUCUUUACAGUUUGAGGCUUUUAAAGUUAAAAGUUUUAGCAUUCAAAUGGUUGAGUUGUUUCCUUGUAAACUUAUCUGAAUUAUUUCAAGAAAAUUCAUUGUUGGUGACUGCUAUGCUUGUAGCUUCUCACUCAGAUUAAUACCGUGCAUAAUACGGCGAAAUUUGAGAGAAAACAUGGAAAGAAUUAUGUAAGUAAAUGGUUUAUAGAGUAGACAAAAUUAAGCAAAGUAGAUAUAUUAGCUGCAAAAUUUUUGAGUUUUGUCAAUAAUUUUCAGCCAAUAAGGGUUUGUUCCAGUAAUAAAAUGAUAAGCUGAAGCCCUAGAAAUUUUUAUUUUCAAAUUUUAUGAUCCGCGUGUACAUAGAUAUGCCAUUAAUUUAGAGUUUAUUUUACCAGAAAUGACCGAUAUCAUAAAAUAUAAUGUCUAGAAAUUUUUAUUUUCAAAUUUUACAAUCUGUGUGUGAUAAACUUUCACAUGAAUCGAAAACAAAAACAUUAUGAUGAAAAUCAUAACGGCAAGAUUUGUGGAAGAGAAGAAAAUGAAUUUAAUUUAUUUGUUAAGUGCUACAUAUAUCUCCUGCUUUACUCUACUAUAUUUGAUUAGUUUUUUUUAAAUAAAUGAGAUAUUCGAGGUUAAAACAUUUUUAUAUAUUACAUUUAUUCACACACAUCAAGUGAAGAAAACUUGGAACUUCUACCUCUAUAAAUUUCAAGGUGUUAAGGUAAAAUUAGGGUAUUACCACUUGCUAACGAGAGAGACGAUGGUCUAACUACUGUGUGCGACAAUGGGAUAUGAUGGUGUGCUCAGUGAAAGGGAACUAGAGUUUCUAGGACUCCUGAACCCGAGAGGGUACUCUUGGGAGUACUCUUUGCCAACCGAAGAGGUAUCCACCUCUAUUAAAUUGUUUCUGUGCAUAUAUCUCUUUCUCCUUUGGCUCAUAUAUAUAUAUAUUUUGUGUCAAACCAUGUUCUAUAAAUAAUUACGAUGUCAUUUACAUGCUCAAUCGAAUGUUUGCAUAUUUAGGAAGUUCGAGAAAUCGUUAAAAUAUGAUAUUACCCCUAGUGGUACCAUUGAGUCAAUUAAGCCUCGAACUAGUUCAAAUAGGAAUUUUAAGGUGAAAUUAAGAGUUUUACAGUUCAGGGAUGACUCAGAAUGGUAAUUCGAAGUUCGAGGAUCAAUUCGGAGUCAAACUGGAAUUUUCACUAUCUAGGGGUAAAAUGGUCAUUUGCCACUUGGGGACAAAAUGGAAAUUUUUAAAAAAGAUUUUUUUGGCCCCAUUUAACUUAUUGGAGUAUGAUUUGAUUAUUGAAAUAUAAUUUGAGGGUUUGGCAGUGAAAAAGUUUAAUUCCGGUAAUUUCUAGAGUGUAGGGGCAAAAUCGUAAUUUUUCUACCCACGGACAAAAUUUGAGAUUUUGAGAGAAUUUAGAUCACAUGUGACAAAUUGGAAAAUGGUAUGAGUAUAAGGGAUGAAAAAUAUGUCUAUGGGUAAUUUUUUAAUUUUUGGGGCAAAAAAUGUAAUUUUUGACUUUUAUAGGGGCAAAAGUGUAAAUUUCAAAAAUUACUCCACCAAGACUUUGGAUAAGUCUGAGAAUUUUAUCUGAGCUAUGGAUUUGUGGGACAAGUGUAUGGUGAAAAUUUAGAAACAAAUGGAUGGCUAGAAUUUAAGAAAUUAAUAAAACAAAAAAAAUGAAUAAAAUAAUAUUAUAAUAUUUUAGCCUUUAAAAAGGUCAAAAUUUCCAGAAUUCUCAUCUUCUUCAAGCUGUCCAAUCCAGGAGAAAAAAGGGGGAAAAGAAAUAAGAACUCUAGCUGAAAAUUUUGGAGAAAAUCAAGAGAAAUCAAGAAAUCAAGCAUUAAAAAGGUAAAUUUCAUUGAUUUUCCUUGUGAUUUUCACUACCCAUGCAUUUUUUUCUCAUUUCCAUGCAAAAUUAGAAAGUGGGUAUGGACACCCAUGCUGGCCAAACCUCCAUGNNNNNNNNNNNNNNNNNNNNNNNNNNNNNNNNNNNNNNNNNNNNNNNNNNNNNNNNNNNNNNNNNNNNNNNNNNNNNNNNNNNNNNNNNNNNNNNNNNNNNNNNNNNNNNNNNNNNNNNNNNNNNNNNNNNNNNNNNNNNNNNNNNNNNNNAGGAAUGAUGAAUUAUGAGCCUAGAAAAAUAAUGGGAAUUUUUGGAGCAAAAAUACAAAUUUUUACCCACUAGGGGUGUUUUCGUAAUUUACUGUCGAGACUGAUAAAUUGCACCACAUUAAGGGACAUUAAGUCAAUUUGGGUGCAAUUGAGGUAUAGAAAUUGAAAAAAUUAAUUUGGAGUUUAAACGGACGUGUAUAUCGAUUUAUCGGGUAAAAGACCGAAAUAGGCUAACAACACGUUUAGGUAAAAUUUAGAUAUUUUGCACUUCAUAUCAUACAUAUACACCGAGCCUGAAUUGAUUUUAUAAUGGUCAAGCAUUAAUGUGGUGAAUUAUGUAUUGUACAUUGUGGAUAGAUGGUGAGCAAAUUACAUUGGUAAAAGUACAGGAUUGUGCUUGAAGAUUGGGGUUAGGAGUAUAUCAACUCCUAGAACAGUGAGUGAACUUAUUAUUGUCUUAAUUAUCUAGAGUAAUUUUAUACAACUAUGUGAUUUUAUGAAAAAUGGGUUUAAAUGGUAAAUUGAUAUGUUUUAGGAGAAAUUAUGAUUUUAUAAAAUGAUUUUAUAAAUUUUCUGAAAAAUCGAAUACUGGUUUUGAAAAUAGAGUAAUUGGAGACUGCCUACUUGUGUUGUAAAAUUAUGAUUUGAAUUAAAUGGCUUGUGAUAAAUUGGCAUGAUUGGUUGAAUUUAUACUUGUGCUGAAAAAUAUGAACUGUCUGUUUUGCCUUGAUAAAUUGGUUAGUAAUGUAAUUGCCAUGCUAUGCCAUUGAGAUUUGAUAAAUUGGUGGAUUAAAGAUUAGCUACUGCAAUGGUGGGGGGUUCCGUGGACCAGCCUAUUAGAGGGGCAUGGUAAACUCCUUUAUAUUCUCACCUCGGUCGUAGAGGCGCAUAGGGUAUCUCUUGAGGUGGGCUUUUUUAGAGCACUUCACUUUAACCACCACGUGAGAGUGAGACUCAGCCAACGCCAAGGAACGGCUGUGAUGUUCAAUGAAAAAUGUGUUUUAUGCGAGAUAUGAAUUUUUAACAGCCUGGGCAAUCUCAGUGGGAUAUCUUGACAAAGGUACCCGCGAGAAUGAUUUUGGCAGGAGCCAAGUUUUGUGAGAUAUAUAAGCCAUGUUGAUUAAUUGAGUAAACUGAAUAUUCAUGUUAUGAAACAUAUAUUAGAAAAGAAUAUUUUAAUUCGUCUCAAUUUACUCGCCUUUAGAUAGUUUAGAUGGUGUCUGUUUACUCACUGAGAUUUUAUAAUCUCACCACCCUCAAUUCUCCACAUUUCAGGCUCGGGAUAGCCGAUUGCAUCAAGGACUUCAGUUAGCCUUACAUCGACAAAAUUGUAGGUUCACAAACUCGCAUCUUAUCGGUUAGUUGGGGGCCCACGUGUCAUUAUAAAAGUAAUUUUAUACUUUAGUUAUUUGAUUUAAAGUAUGUAUGAACAUAUUUAGCUUUUACACCAUGUUUUUGGUGGGUUUCGGUAUUUUCGAAGAAAAAUGAUGAAAAUGCCCUUGUGAGCCAGAAAAUAAUAUUAUAUUUGGAAACGACUUAUGAUUUUCUUGAAAUGCGAGAUUUAAUAACUGUCGCUCACUAGGGAGAUGCAGAAGCUAAUGCUAAGCCUUGCGAGGUUUCGCUUAGCAUUUGGGGUGAAGAAUGUUUGUCGAGGCUUCGUGACGGUUGUCACAGGCCCGAUGGGGAGUUCCGGAUCGUGACAUUUUGCAAUGCUUUUAACAUAAAAACCAACGACAAACAAACGUCAAAGUUAUGUUUGAAGAGUUAAAUAGGAGCUCAAAAUUCAUAUGGAACAGAAAUUUUAAAAAUAUGUCAAAAUUUUGUAUUUUUUUUCAAAGAAAAAAAGGCUGGCUCUAGAUAUAAAGCACUAAUUUGAGUAUGAUAUUUCACUUGUUUGAUAUUCUGCUCAAAAUCUGUCAUGAUAUAACUUUAAAUUAAUCCACAGCCUUUACAUUUUGUCGAUAUAUAACAUGAUUAUUAUGCAAAUAUUACUAUUCCGAUGGUAUAUCUCAUUGUACCAUAAGUCAGAACUAUUCUUUCUUUUGCAUAAAGCUUCAAUCUCAACAUUUCAAAUUCUUCGUAUUUCCUUUGAAUUUGUUUAACUAUUGGAAAUUGCUGUUGAUUUUCAAUUGUUUUUACUGCUCCAUUAUCUUGGAUAUCCUGUUGAUGCUGUUGGUAUUUUUUUGGAGUGGUGGUUGAUGCUGAUGAAUCUUUAUGCUCUAUUUUGGGUGUGGUAAUUUUAAUAAAGUAUAGAGUCUAUAUAAUUUAUUUUCACAAAUAGCUUAUUAAAUAAUUUUUGCUUAAUUUUAAAAGUUAUUAUUUUUCAAACUUAAUAACUUUUAAACUAAAAAAAGCUAAGCCAAACAGGUUCUGUCACGAAUCGGAACUCCCAUCGGGCCCGUGACAACCGUCGCGAUAUCUCGAUGGCACUCAUUACCCCGAAUGCCGAUCGAAACCCCGCAAGGCUUAGCAUCAGGUUCCGUAUCUCCCCGAUGAGCGACAGUUAUUAAAUCUCACAUUUCAAAAAAUCAUAAGUCGUUUCCAAAUCAAAACAAUAAAAUAUUAUUUUUUGGCUCACAAGGGCAUUUUCGUAAUUUUUCUUCAAAAAUACCGAAACCCGUCAAAAACAUGGUGUAAAAGAUAAAUAUGUUUAUACAUACUUUAAAUCAGAUAAAUGAAGUAUAAAAUUACUUUUACAGUGACACGUGGGCCCCCAAUUGACCAAAAAGGUGUAAGGCUAUGAACCCUUACUUUCUAGGAUGCAACUCCGAUAUUAAUUCUCGUCUUAAUCAACUAUCAACAAACUGUCCUGAGCUUGAAAAAUGGAUAGGAAGAGGGGUGAGAUUAUGAUUACAUAAUCCCAAAGAGUAAACAUACACCAUCUAAACUAUUUAAAGACGAGUAAAGGGAGACAAUUAAAAAUAGUUCAUUUCAGCAAAUUUUUCACAACACGAAUAUUCAUUUCAACCAAAUAAUCAAUAUGGCUCGUGAAUUUCUCAAAACAUGGCUCCUGCCAAAAUCAUUCUCGCGGGUACCUUUGUCAAGGUAUCCCACUAAGACCGCCAAGGUUGUUAAAUGUCCCAUAUCCAUAAACAUGUUUUCGCAUCUGACACACAGCCGUUCCUUGACGUUGGCUGAGUCUCACUCUCACGCGGUGGUUAACGUGAAAUGCACUCAAAAAGCCCACCUCAGGAGAUACCCUACGCGCCUCUACGACCGAGGUGAGAAUAUAAAGGAGUUUACCGUGCCCCUUUAAUAGGCUAGUCCACGGAACCCCCCCACCACUGCAGUAGCUAAUCUUUAAUCCACCAAUUGAUCAAAUCUCAAUGGCAUAGCAUGGCAAUUACAUUACUAACCAAUUUAUCAAGGCA